This 251-nucleotide ribosomal RNA is filed under the name uncultured bacterium. RNAcentral describes it as "partial 16S ribosomal RNA". It matches the Rfam family "Bacterial small subunit ribosomal RNA", at positions 526 to 779 of the family's 1533-position model. The record is from RNAcentral.
CGUAGGUGCGAGCGUUAAUCGGAAUUACUGGCGUAAAGCGAGCGCAGGCGGUUCUGCAAGUCAGAUGUGAAAUCCCCGGGCUCAACCUGGGAACUGCGUUUGAAACUACAGAGCUAGAGUAUGGGAGAGGGAGGUAGAAUUCCACGUGUAGCAGUGAAAUGCGUAGAGAUGUGGAGGAAUACCAAUGGCGAAGGCAGCCUCCUGGCCUAAUACUGACGCUCAUGCUCGAAAGCGUGGGAGCAAACAGGAUU